CUUAACAAAUUGUAGAGCAUUGGUCCAUCCAUACUAACACGGUAAAAUAGUGAGAUUUUCCGUUAGUUUGAUGACGUGGUCUUUGUGGACUCCAUAUUUUUGUUAACUAAAUGCCACGUGGCUUAAAAAAUUCAAAUUUAAAAUAAAUACAAACAUAGAGAAAGUAAAAAAAUAAAAACAUAAAAGCUAUCUCUCUCUCUCUCGUCUUCCCUUCUGCCUCGCCUCCUCCAAACCCCAGCCACAGCAUUGUAGCACUCUCCAAACAACCAAAACAAAAGAAAGUUUGUAAACCAAAUGUCGAACACGUCUCCCUUUGUAAACGAAUUCACAAUGACAUCCAUCCACGCUGUCUCGAAAGGUAAGAUUUAAGAAUUUUGUGGGAUGCAGGUUCGGGGUUUGGGUGAAGGCUGAGCUCCGUGGGCUACAGGUUGGAGUCGGCUGCGGUUGUUGGUGGAUGAGAAAAUUAUACUCAAAGCAGAACUAUCAGAUUCUUUUGCUUUUGCUGUCAACAACUGAAGAGAUGGAGAAAAGUCUCAAAGUAGCUUUCAUCAUCGUGCUCAUCUUCCUUGCUGGAUCUAGCGGUAAAAUAUACAAUCCAAACACUUUUUUUUUUUUUUUUUCUUCACUUACUGUAAAAUGGAAUCGAAGCUUGAGCAAGCCGAAUCCUAGUAGUGGUUUUGAGUUUAGUAGCCGAAUCCUAGGGGCGAGAUGGAGUUGUUAGGUUCCUCAUUCUAUUGGGCCUAUUCCAUUUAGUAUAGUUAUCCCAUUCACAUAUUUCGGGUUGUAGAUUGCUCAGGCUCUAUGUAUUUAGUCUCUUUUACUCUUUUGGAGGAUUAUGAAUGAAAAUAUAAAUGUUUUAGUUCA
Long non-coding RNA from Pyrus x bretschneideri (Chinese white pear), 864 nucleotides. RefSeq lists it as uncharacterized. The transcript has 2 exons. The record is from RefSeq and is a predicted model, not a curated record. NCBI's taxonomy places the organism in Eukaryota, Viridiplantae, Streptophyta, Magnoliopsida, Rosales, Rosaceae.